UUUUUUUUCUUUCGUCUUUUUAGGGCCGCACCCGCGGCCAUAUGGAGGUUCCCAGGCUAGGGGUCGAAUCAGAGCUACAGCUGCCAGCCUACGCCACAGCCACAGCAACGCCAGAUCUGAGCUGCGUCUGCAACCUACACCAUAGCUCACGGCCACGCCAGAUCCUUCACCCACUGAGCAAGGCCAGGAAUCGAACCUGCAACUUCAUGGUUCCUAGUCAGGUUCGUUUCUGCUGUGCCACAAUGGGAACUCCCUACAUUUCAAUUUUAAGAAGAACGAAAGGGAGGGAAAGAGGGAGCAAACAAAAACAGAAACCCUUUUUAAUGAGAAUUCAGGUUGCAGACCUCUUUAAAGUCCACGUAGCCCGUGGCGCACUGGAACCGCCAGGAGAGGCUAUAAAAAGAGACUGUGGCACCUCUGCUAUGAGAAUCAAGCUUUCCCAGCGUCCCCGAGUUCCCAGCACGCAGCGGGGGGUACACCUGACCCCUGGCAGCGCCGUCCUGCCCCAUCCCAUGAGGCUCCUGGACUGAAGAGCACAGGUUGCUCUCCUUGGUGUUUCAGAGUAGAACUGCUUUUGUGGCGCGUGUCUACAUGCGACUUUGAAGGGUCCCAGGGCACCUGCCCCAUGCCACCCCCGCUGCUCCCACCACCACCAGGGGUCUUCUGAUGGGCCACAGCUACAGCGUUUUAGCUCCCGUUGUGGUCUCAUUUGAGCCAAAGUUUCCUGUGAUCGGCCAACCACAGCCUCUGAUCUUGGAAAACAAGGAAGGGCUUUAUAAAGGCGCUGCAACGAACAAUGAGCAAGAGCCAGAGAGAAGGGAUUGAAACUACUGAAGGACUUAAAACAGAGGCGCCUUGCAAUCCUUUUCUCCCCGCCUUUCAAUGGACAAAACCUGCACGCAUGGCGGAGAAAUCCCAGCUGCAUUCUCUUUGGGUCACUUCCCCUCAGGAACCCUGAGUGAUACGAAGCUGGCCCCACCCGGCUUUGCUGCCCUCCCUGGACCCUGGACCCAGGACCCACCUCGUCUUCAGCAUCAGCCCUCUGAUCUCUCCCUCUUCAACCCCAUCCUGGCUGAGGGCGCAGCUGAGACGGCCAGCAUCGGACAGGUGGCUUCAGGAGUUGCCUCCCCAAACUUUAAUUCCUACCUGGGUUCUCUUAAAAAGAGCAGGACAGACAGCCUCGAUGGACAGGCAGCCUGGGAGAGACUUGGUUUCAAAUCUUGGCUCAGCCACUAACCCCCUGGAGGCCUCAGAACCUCAGGGCUCAAAGCCCCCUUUCUCUGGUUUGGAAGUAGGGUUUCUGGUGGUAAAAACAUCCGCGCCCUGUCCCCGGCCUGAUGGGUGGUGAGGUGGUUAUCCUCCCCCGCCCCCCCAGGACCACGCCCUCUGCCCUCUGCCAGUUCAGCUGGACCAGUGGCACCUGCUGUUCCCUUGGCCGCCCAGCAUCCUGCCCCUUCAUCUGCAGAAUCACUGCUGAGUGGGCUUAAUGGAAGUUUAGGAGAGUCCGAAGGUGCCAAUCAGACCAGAUGGUGCCUGUGCCAGGGCCGGGGGCAAACCCAGCCUGUCGGCUGCAGGGCCCCGCCGCCGCCAGCCACCAUCAGCCACAAGGACAGCAGCCCAAGGAGAGGUGGGGGCCCAGCCUCUGCGGGGAGGGGCAGCACCAGAGGUGACAGAAGGGUGCUUUCCUGGGGCAGAUCCACAGGCGAGCAUUAUUAGUUGGCAGAAAACCAAGUUCCGGCAGAGAAGACACGGGGCCAGAGCCAACUGCGGAAUGUCCCUCGGUCCCAGUCACGUGCACGGUCGGGAGAACAAAUGACCACUUACUAGAGGUGAGGCAGGUGUUCACAAGUGAAGGGUCCCCCGAGGGGCAGAGCAGUGGGCGGCGAGGGGAAGGGCCACCUGGAACGAGACCGACACGAAUGACCUUCUCCGGAAACACAGACACAGAGCGCAGACUUGGGGUUGCCAAGGGCACAGUGGGGACUGGGGGUUUGGGGUUAGCAGAUGCAAACUAUGACGCACAGGGCGGAUGAACAACCAGGUCCUCUCGAGAGCACAGGGAAGUGGAUUCCAUACCCUGUGAUAAACCACCAUGGGAAAGACUACGAAAGAAGCGUGUACACGUGUGUGUAACUGAGUCACUUUGCAGCACGGCAGAAAUGAACACAACAGUGGAAAUCAACUCGACUUCAACAAAAUAAAUUUAAAACAUAAAAAGAAUGGAGUUCCCGUUGUGGCGCAGUGGCAACAAAUCCGACUAGGAACCACGGGGAUGCCGGUUCGAUCCCUGGCCUCACUCACUGGGUUAAGGAUCCGGCAUUGCCCUGAGCUGUGGUCUAGGUUGCAGACGCAGCUCUGAUCCAGCAUUGCUGUGGCUGUGGUGUAGGCUGGAAGCUACAGCUCUGAUUCGACCCCUAGCCUGGGAACCUCCAUAUGCCAGGGGUACGGCCCUAAAAAGAAAAACAAUUUAAAAAUUAAAAAAUAAAAAAUAAAAAGAAUGAAAUCCAAGACUUCCAGCUGAGAGUAACCAAGAAGCGUUGCCUUUGAUGAAAUGUGAUUAAAAGGGACUCUACCCAAGGGCGAGGUUGUGCCAACUUUUAAAGUUCAGGUUUGCAAGUUGAACGGCCUAAGCCCCUCCCGUGUUUUCAGAUCAUUCAAAGUUGUGAAUCAGCUUCCGAGAGGCCUGAGUUCCUGCCUCUGAUUCCCCAGCCCCCGCCCCACUCUCCUCCGGCCUGGAAGGUCUGGAAGGUCCGGGAAAGGCGCUGGUGAGCAGCUGGUGGGGGGCGGCCAGCAGUACGGCGCCCCAGGUGCAAAGGCAGACUUUAGAGGGAAACAAUCAAGAGACUGUUCUCAGAGCCCUGGGGCAUCACACACGGUGACCUUUCCUUCCUCCUCUGCCCGGGACAGAGAAAGAAGGGUGACCAAUGACAGAGGAGGGAGCAGGGGGUGACCCGGGCUUUACAGCAGGACCCGGCCUCUCCUGUUUGUGGCGUGGCAUCAACAAUAACCUUUUCCAUUGUCUCUGAUGAAGGUGCCUGAGAACCGAGGGUGGUGACCCGAGGGCCCCCUCCUCCCUGCCCACGUCCCUGGGCUGCCACCACCUGGGACAGGAGCUGGUUCUUAGCGUACACGACACGCCGCGGGUGAUGCGCACGGAGCUCAAAGGACCGCCUGAUUCCCCAGGGCUGGGCUUUUUGAUUAUAACCCCGAUUUCAGUCCCGAGGAGCCAGGAAUCAGCUCCGAGGUCAGCACGCUCGGGCCAGCGGGCCACGUGCAGCUGCUGCCUGCCUCUGCGCCCAGCGCGGAGCGCGGCCACGGCCGCAUCUCCUGUUUACCCCUGGCUGUCCUCCCGCAGCCACGGUAGAGGAAGUGGUUGUCACAGGGACCAUGUGACCUGCCAAGAGCCUGGAACACUCACUCUUGGCCCCUUACAGAAAACGUCCGCCGACCCCGUGCCUGCGCCUUGCCAAACGCCGCCAUCACGUGUCCUGCUUCCCUGGCAUGAAGCCCGCGAGUUUGCGUGGCAGCCCAGAAGCAGGGGGCGGGGGGGGGUGGAAGAGCCAAGGCUUCGCCCCCAAACAUAGACCCCUCGGAACUGCAGAGGUGACCAGAUGGCUGGAAUUCCCACGUCAACACAUGACAUCCUGACCAAGGAAGCACUUGCUUCUAUAGUUGAGGGUCUGAAGGAUCAGACUGUGUGCGACGCCCCCCACUCCCACCCCCGACCACAUGACAGCAGGUCUUGGGGGGAACAUCUCCCGAAGACCGCCGGAGUUUGUCUGCUGAGCAUCUAGCUUAGCCGGAGGACUAGAGGGUCCUGCUUCUGAAAAAUGACAUUCACAAUUUUAUCUGUCAUAUCUGGGGACUCUUGGACCCCAGAAGCUAAUCUGUGAGCCCCAGAUUAAGAACCUCUGAUCAAUUAAUUUUGCUAGUUGUGGGGAAAACAAAUCUUUUUUUUAAAAGCACUGGUCAAGGAGUUCCCGCUGAGGUUCAGCACAUUAAGGAUCCGGCGUUGUCUCUGCAGCAACUCUGGUUGCCGCUAAAGCAGAGGUUUGAUCCCCGGCCCAGCACAGUGGGUU
RNAcentral lists this long non-coding RNA (4079 nucleotides) under Sus scrofa (pig). RNAcentral's name for it is "lncRNA (ENSSSCG00000057377.1)". The record is from RNAcentral. Lineage: Eukaryota; Metazoa; Chordata; Mammalia; Artiodactyla; Suidae.